AAUCAACGCUGGCGGCGUGCCUCAGACAUGCAAGUCGAACGAUUAAAGCUCUCUUCGGAGAGUGCAUAGAGUGGCGCACGGGUGAGUAACACGUAAGUAAUCUACCUUCGAGUGGGGAAUAACGUCCGGAAACGGGCGCUAAUACCGCAUAAUGCAGCGGCAUCGCAAGAUGACAGUUGUUAAAGGAGCAAUCCGCUUGAAGAGGAGCUUGCGGCAGAUUAGCUAGUUGGUAGGGUAAUGGCCUACCAAGGCUACGAUCUGUAACCGGUCUUAGAGGACGGUCGGUCACACUGACACUGAAUAACGGGUCAGACUCCUACGGGAGGCAGCAGUCGGGAAUUUUGGGCAAUGGGGGAAACCCUGACCCAGCAACGCCGCGUGAAGGAUGAAGUAUUCGGUAUGUAAACUUCGAAAGAAUAGGAAGAAUUAAUGACGGUACUAUUUAUAAGGUCCGGCUAACUACGUGCCAGCAGCCGCGGUAAACUCGUACUCUA
This 494-nucleotide ribosomal RNA is filed under the name uncultured bacterium. RNAcentral describes it as "bacterial SSU rRNA". It matches the Rfam family "Bacterial small subunit ribosomal RNA", at positions 32 to 537 of the family's 1533-position model. The record is from RNAcentral.